AAUUCAAUAGUUUAUUUAAAACAUCAAAUUGCAAAUUUGAAGAAGUCUAAUUCUUGAAUUA
RNAcentral lists this transfer RNA (61 nucleotides) under Ibidoecus bisignatus (glossy ibis head louse). Its description in RNAcentral is "tRNA-Cys". Lineage: Eukaryota; Metazoa; Arthropoda; Insecta; Psocodea; Philopteridae. The record is from RNAcentral.